Sycon ciliatum is the source of this 2093-nucleotide RNA transcript. RefSeq lists it as uncharacterized. The record is from RefSeq and is a predicted model, not a curated record. The transcript is spliced from 2 exons. NCBI's taxonomy places the organism in Eukaryota, Metazoa, Porifera, Calcarea, Leucosolenida, Sycettidae.
GAGCCGUACUGUUAUGAAGUCUGCUUUCAUCAUUCGAUUUUCAUGUUUGUUAGCCCAAGAUUGUCCUCGGAUGUAUGACCAGAAUGGCGAACUCAAAGCAGCCUUCAAAUGGCCACAAUUAUAGGCCGGAAUGUGAUGACAUGCUUCCCAGCGUUGAACAAAUUCUCAACGAAAAAAUAUCGUUGUUUGAACGAGCAUUGAACACGGCCCAUGGUCAGCAAGAGCGGCGACGGGUCGAGGAGAUACGCACAAGUUGCGAGGAUCGAGUCGACAAGUUCGCAACGGCACUCACGAAAGCAUGCGAGACAACGUCUGAAAAAAUGAUACGGCAAAUGGAUGAGAAAACAAAGCUACUUCUUGCUGAAAAGGAGCGGGAAAUGGAGGAAGACAGCCGGAAGAAGUCGGAAGAGUUCGCGAGGCGCUGCCUGCGAGCACGGGAAAAUUUACAAACAGAGCUGGAAAAAGAAGCCGAUCGAGAGGCGACCAGGUUGAAAAACAAGGUAGACGAGGCCACAGGGAAACUCCGGUCAGAUUAUACGCAGGAUCAUAGCAAGCGGUGCUCAUCGCUGGCAGACUCCGUCAGGCGGGAUGCAGCGGCGACCUUGGCUGCGGACGAGGCGGCCGUCAUGCGGAAGCAUCGUCAGCGCAUGCUGGAUACCAUAGCCAGCACGACCCAGCGAUACGAUUUCCUGCUGCGGGAUGUGGAGCGUCGCUCGAUGGACGACCACCUGCACUUGUCGGCCCAGCUGCUCGAGCUGCAACUGUCGCAGUCGUUGGGAGCAGCGGAGAUGGAAAUGCUUGAACAUACCCGCCAGUGGUGCGGGCGAAUGGGUCAGCCGCUUCAGGCCCUGGGCGAUGCUGUGCCUGAGCUGGGCGAAGUGCGACAACGGCUGGAAGCAAGGCAUCACCUGCGGAAGUACAAGCUGAAAGCUCCAGACUUGUGACCACUGUGUGUGCCGCUGUGCAGGCACUGCUACAGGGCGCAAACUUGACUCACAAUUGCUACCGGCGAAGGUCGUCCAACGCCACCUUCGAACCAACCAGUGCCUCCUUACAACCCAUUGAUGAUACCGUCAGCACCACUCCUCUGUGGAUGCCCUCUGCCUUCCCACUGACAGUCUCUUCGCUGCCAAGGACAGGGGAAAUGUGACCGGACUAUGCACAUUGGACAUGUCGAAAGCAUUUUGACAAAGUCUGCCACACCCAGCUCAUUGUUGAUCUGUUUGAUGUCGGUGUGUGCGAAUCGCCCCCGCCUGGUUUGUAAGCUACCUGACGACGCAAGAGCAGAUGGUUUGCAUUGGGCCAACCACGAGUCAGGCCACCCCCUGCAUGUGCGGGGUGCCGCAAGGAUCUGUUCUAGGUCCUGUGCUAUUUUCCAUUUACAUGUACACCCGCCACAUUCCCUCCGUCCUGCACCCUGUACCCAGCAUCCAGUUUGCAGAUAGCAUAGCAUUGUAUUCAUCGCAGAGUUCUGCUGGCGCUGCCCUGUGCUACGUUCAACCAAGAGUACAUAACCCCCCAGAGUGUGCAACGCCUGAUCCAGCUCUGCAUAGGGUCUUGGUCGAGCGUAAUUGGAUCUUCUGAUGUCAUGCGUACACUCCACACCAGCACAAGGCCGGUCUCGAGGCAGAGUACCGUUGAUUUUGAUCCGAGAGUACCCGCGACUCCCCGGGUUCCCCUCAGAUGUGCACAGUAUGUAUAAUAUGACGCAAAGAUCCGAUUAUGCUCGACCAAGACCCUAUGCAGAGCCGGAUCAGGUGUUGCACACUCUGGGGGGUUAUGUACUCUUGGUUCAACGGAACGUCCAACCUGAAAUGCUAAGAACGCCACAGCCUAAAUGACGGUGUUGGUUUUCCGGCAGCUUUUGGAAUAUUUAAUGAUCCAAUACAAAUUGUUUCUAAGAACGUGCUAUCAGAAGGCAGCAAGAUUGCUGAAAGAUAAGAAUGCCCCAGGCUAACCCCAUGGAAACAAGUUAGGGCGUCCAACUCUACUGUAAACAGUCUGCGCUGUACAUCAUCACAUCUCUUUGCUGUACAUCAUCACAUCUCUUUGCUGUACAUCAUCACAUCUCUUUGCUGUACAUCAUCACAUCU